GGCUUUGUCUGUAUCUUUACUUUUGAAACCAAAGUCUACUUGGUUAAAGCUAUUACAGCAGAUUCUUUACAUCUUUGUUAACAUUCAUUUUCUGGGUCCAGGAGGAAACGCACUUUCUUUGGAAUGAAUUUUGAAUAGAUUUCCUGUUCAGAGGAAUCUUUGUCAUGUUCAGGUAUUCCCUAAAAGUGAAGGGAACUUACAGUCAUUAACCAUUUGCCCCAUGGUUUAACCCUAUGUAGCCCAGGCUACAUGUAUUUUGAAAUUUCAUAGACAGUGGGUUCUCAUCAAUUUUUUUCGAUGAAAGUUGUCGUCUCUAUUUUCAGUCAUAAAUACAUGAAAUCAAUAGUUUGUAGACAGCAAAGGUAAAAAUGAUGAUACAUUUAUUAAUUUUGGCUACAUACAGAAUUUGCAUUGAAAUUGUCAAAUGAAGUUACCUUUUUAGCAAUUUUGGAUCUGAUAUGCACUUACAAAACGUUGCCUAACUUUGCAAUCGCAUACCAUCACGUUGUGAAUUUUGUCCCAAAAGUUGCAUGAGAAAAAAUUCAUUGUCUUGUGUCCUGAACUUUACAGAUUUAUUACAAAAAAUAUCA
This is a long non-coding RNA of Lytechinus variegatus (green sea urchin), 590 nucleotides long. RefSeq lists it as uncharacterized. NCBI's taxonomy places the organism in Eukaryota, Metazoa, Echinodermata, Echinoidea, Temnopleuroida, Toxopneustidae. The transcript has 2 exons. The record is from RefSeq and is a predicted model, not a curated record.